GUGAGGAAUAUUGCGCAAUGGAGGCAACUCUGACGCAGCCAUGCCGCGUGCAGGAAGAAGGCGCUACGCGUUGUAAACUGCUUUUAACCGGGAAGAAACCCCAGGACGUGUCCUGGGUUGACGGUACCGGAGGAAUAAGCACCGGCUAACUUCGUGCCAGCAGCCGCGGUAAUACGAAGGGUGCAAGCGUUAUCCGGAUUCAUUGGGUUUAAAGGGUGCGUAGGCGGAGCGUUAAGUCAGUGGUGAAAUCCUGCAGCUUAACUGUAGACUUGCCAUAGGUACUGGCGCUCUUGAGUGCGCUUGAAGUGGGCGGAAUGUGCCGUGUAGCGGUGAAAUGCUUAGAUAUGGCACAGAACACCAAUUGCGAAGGCAGCUCACUAAGGCGAUACUGACGCUGAGGCACGAAAGCGUGGGGAUCGAACAGGAUUAGAAACCCGAGUAGUCC
This 445-nucleotide ribosomal RNA is filed under the name uncultured bacterium. Its description in RNAcentral is "partial 16S ribosomal RNA". It matches the Rfam family "Bacterial small subunit ribosomal RNA", at positions 354 to 796 of the family's 1533-position model. The record is from RNAcentral.